Pan troglodytes (chimpanzee) is the source of this 786-nucleotide long non-coding RNA. RefSeq lists it as uncharacterized. Lineage: Eukaryota; Metazoa; Chordata; Mammalia; Primates; Hominidae. The transcript has 3 exons. The record is from RefSeq and is a predicted model, not a curated record.
GCACACAGUAGGCACUGAAUAAAUGCAUGCUGACCUCACCUGUUAAGUUUUUCAGAGAAGAGGGCCUGGCCUGUGUAACUUGGGUGAAAUUUCUAUACCAGAGAGGAGCAAGUGUUUCCUAGAGAGCCCUUUCUUUUCUCCAGAAGAUAUGGCUUUUGAAGAAACGGGGCUUCACUGUGUUGCCCAGGCUGGUCUCGAACUCGUGGGCUAAAGUGAUCUGCUCGCCUCAGCCUCCCAAAGUGCCAAGAUUACAGGCAUAAACCACUGCGCCCUGCCAACGAUGACAACCUAACAGCAACGGGCACAUGGCACCCAGACUGUGGUUCCAACUAUAAGGAACCAGGACUCCAUGGAGGAAUAGCUGAUUCCAAGUCCAAGGCAUAAGCAGAGCUCAAAAAAAAGGAAAGAAUACCUGCUCUUGUUAGGUUAAGAAGAAUAAAAGAAGUGCUAUCACUUGGCUGUAGAUCUUGCAACAAGCUAGAAGACUCUGAAGUGGACAAAAACUCCGGGGAUUUCUGUACAGUCUGAGCUCUCGUCUCCUCUCCGUCUGGACCCACAUUCACCCGAAGGCUUCUCAAAACAGCUGAGGAAGGGACCUCCUUGGAGGAGUUAGAAUGAUUUGUAGUAUCAUCUAGUAAAGGGAAAAUACCACAGCUUUAUGUAGCACCUAUCUCUAGGAGCCCACCAUUUUGAUACACAGCACCCAACAUCUCUUGGAAGCUAACAUCCUUAUAGCAACAGACAGCAUUCUCAUUACACAAAUAAAAACUUUGUCUCACAGAAGAA